GAGAGAGACAUGCGCGCAUAUCAAUAAGCGGAGGAAAAGAAACUAACAAGGAUUCCCUUAGUAACGGCGAGUGAAGCGGGAAGAGCUCAAAUUUGAAAUCUUCAAGGUUCUACCUUGACGAAUUGUAGUUUAUAGAAGUGCUUUUCUGUAGUGGAGUUUGGUAAAAGUUCUUUGGAAUAGGACAUCAUAGAGGGUGAGAAUCCCGUAUUUGGUCAUUCCUCCUAGCGUUGUGAUACACUUUCAAAGAGUCGGAUUGUUUGGGAAUGCAGUCCAAAAUGGGUGGUAAAUUUCAUCUAAAGCUAAAUAUUGGCGAGAGACCGAUAGCGAGCAAGUACCGUGAGGGAAAGAUGAAAAGAACUUUGAAAAGAGAGUUAAACAGUACGUGAAAUUGUCAAAAGGGAAGCGUUUGACACCAGUGUUGUUUUUCCGAAAAUCAAUUACGAAUGUUUUGUUUUUAAGAAGUUAUGACUUCAUCGGCUUGCUUCUUUCUUUACGAAACUUUCUUAAUGCACUUUUCGGUUAACAAGUCAACAUCAAUUUCUUUUGUUGUAAAAGGGUAUGAGGAAGGUGGCUUUCUUUUCGGAGAAAGUGUUUAUAGCCUUUGGCUUCUGCAAUCGGAGAGAUUGAGGUCUGCAGCGUAGAUCCUUCGGGGCUAGGUACGUAGAUGCUAAGUUAUAGUUUUUCAUAGACAACUUGUUGACUAUGAUUAAUCAUGUAGCUUACUCGUUUGCGCUAUUUUACCUACGCUUAGGAUGUUGAUAGUCACAGCGUGUAC
This 775-nucleotide ribosomal RNA is filed under the name uncultured Neocallimastigales. RNAcentral describes it as "partial large subunit ribosomal RNA". It matches the Rfam family "Eukaryotic large subunit ribosomal RNA", at positions 23 to 644 of the family's 3401-position model. The record is from RNAcentral. Lineage: Eukaryota; Fungi; Neocallimastigomycota; Neocallimastigomycetes; Neocallimastigales.